RNAcentral lists this ribosomal RNA (253 nucleotides) under uncultured bacterium. RNAcentral describes it as "partial 16S ribosomal RNA". It matches the Rfam family "Bacterial small subunit ribosomal RNA", at positions 524 to 776 of the family's 1533-position model. The record is from RNAcentral.
UACGUAGGGGGCUAGCGUUGUCCGGAUUUAUUGGGCGUAAAGAGCGUGUAGGCGGCCAGGUAGGUCUGCUGUGAAAACUCGAGGCUCAACCUCGAGACGUCGGCGGAAACCAUCUGGCUAGAGUCCGGAAGAGGAGAGUGGAAUUCCUGGUGUAGCGGUGAAAUGCGCAGAUAUCAGGAAGAACACCCGUGGCGAAGGCGGCUCUCUGGGAAGGUACGGACGCUAAGGCGCGAAAGCGUGGGGAGCGAACAGG